UGAAUGUUAGUCUAAACAAGACAAUUAAUUUCGACUUAAUAAACCCAGAAUUUAACCUGGACAUUCAC
This 68-nucleotide transfer RNA is filed under the name Basiliscus vittatus (brown basilisk). RNAcentral's name for it is "tRNA-Arg". The record is from RNAcentral. Lineage: Eukaryota; Metazoa; Chordata; Lepidosauria; Squamata; Corytophanidae.